Molecule: ribosomal RNA, 919 nt
Filed under: uncultured bacterium
Lineage: Bacteria
Description: partial 16S rRNA
Rfam family: Bacterial small subunit ribosomal RNA
Source: RNAcentral
GAUGAACGCUGGCGGCGUGCCUGACACAUGCAAGUCGAACGAACCGAGGGGCCGUUGAUCGGGUUUCGGAAGGGUUCGUCCCGGAAGAGCCCGUGAGGUUCCUUGGUUAGUGGCGAACGGGUGAGUAACACGUAGGUGACCUGCCCCGAAGAGGGGGAUAACCACUGGAAACGGUGGCUAAUACCCCAUGUGGUCCCGCAUUCGUUUGCGGGAUUAAAGGCUCCGGCGCUUCGGGAGGGGCCUGCGGCCUAUCAGCUAGUUGGUAGGGUAAUGGCCUACCAAGGCUAUGACGGGUAGCUGGUCUGAGAGGACGGACAGCCACACUGGCACUGAGACACAGGCCAGACUCCUACGGGGAGGCAGCAGUGAGGAAUAUUGCGCAAUGGGGGAAACCCUGACGCAGCAACGCCGCGUGGGCGAAGAAGGUCUUCGGAUCGUAAAGCCCUUUUCUCUCGAGACGAGGAAGGACGGUACGGGAGGAAUAAGCGUCGGCUAACUACGUGCCAGCAGCCGCGGUAAAACGUAGGACGCAAGCGUUAUCCGGAUUUAUUGGGCGUAAAGGGCGUCUAGGCGGCGUCUUAAGUUGGGCGUGAAAUCUUCCGGCUCAACCGGAAGGGUGCGUCCAAUACUGGGACGCUUGAGGACAGCAGAGGGAGGUGGAAUUCCCGGAGUAGCGGUGGAAUGCGUAGAUAUCGGGAGGAACACCAGUGGCGAAGGCGGCCUCCUGGGCUGUACCUGACGCUGAAGCGCGAAAGCGUGGGGAGCAAACGGGAUUAGAUACCCCGGUAGUCCACGCCGUAAACGAUGGAUACUAGGUGUCGGUGGUAUUGACCCCAUCGGUGCCGCAGCUAACGCAUUAAGUAUCCCGCCUGGGGACUACGGCCGCAAGGCUAAAACUCAAAGGAAUUGACGGGGGCCC